RNAcentral lists this ribosomal RNA (479 nucleotides) under uncultured bacterium. RNAcentral describes it as "bacterial SSU rRNA". It matches the Rfam family "Bacterial small subunit ribosomal RNA", at positions 364 to 833 of the family's 1533-position model. The record is from RNAcentral.
UUUCGCAAUGCCCGAAAGGGUGACGAAGCGACGCCGCGUGAGCGAAGAAGGCCCUAGGGUUGUAAAGCUCUGUCGGGGGUUAUGAAAUGCAGGUUGGUUAAUACCCAACCUGUUUGACAAAGGCCCCAAAGGAAGCCACGGCUAACUCUGUGCCAGCAGCCGCGGUAAUACAGAGGUGGCAAGCGUUGUUCGGUAUUAUUGGGCGUAAAGAGCACGUAGGUGGUUUUGUAAGUCAGAUGUGAAAGCCUUCUGUUCAAAGGAAGAACGGCAUCUGAAACUGCAGAUCUUGAGUGUAGGAGGGGAGAGUGGAACUUCUGGUGGAGCGGUGAAAUGCGUAGAUAUCAGAAGGAACGUCGGCGGCGAAAGCGACUCUCUGGCCUAUUACUGACACUGAGUGUGCGAAAGUUAGGGGAGCAAACGGGAUUAGAUACCCUGGUAGUCCUAGCUGUAAACGAUGGGCACUAAGUAGAGGGGUUUUA